This 253-nucleotide ribosomal RNA is filed under the name uncultured bacterium. RNAcentral describes it as "partial 16S ribosomal RNA". It matches the Rfam family "Bacterial small subunit ribosomal RNA", at positions 524 to 776 of the family's 1533-position model. The record is from RNAcentral.
UACGUAGGGACCGAGCGUUGUCCGGAUUCAUUGGGCGUAAAGAGCUCGUAGGCGGCUGCUCAAGUCGAAUGUGAAAACUCGAGGCUCAACCUCGAGCCUGCAUUCGAUAAUGGGCGGCUAGAGUCUGGUAGGGGGAUCUGGAAUUCCUGGUGUAGCGGUGGAAUGCGCAGAUAUCAGGAGGAACACCGGUGGCGAAGGCGGGAUCCUGGGCCAGUACUGACGCUGAGGAGCGAAAGCGUGGGGAGCAAACAGG